GAUGAACGCUAGCUACAGGCUUAACACAUGCAAGUCGCGGGGCAGCAUGGGGGUUGCUUGCAAUCCCCGAUGGCGACCGGCGCACGGGUGAGUAACGCGUAUCCAACCUGCCCUUCACCACGGGAUAACCCGGCGAAAGUCGGACUAAUACCGUAUGUUGUCCAUUGACGGCAUCCGAUUUGGACGAAAGGUUUGGCGGUGAAGGAUGGGGAUGCGUCCGAUUAGCUGGACGGCGGGGUGACGGCCCACCGUGGCGACGAUCGGUAGGGGUUCUGAGAGGAAGGUCCCCACACUGGAACUGAGACACGGUCCAGACUCCUACGGGAGGCAGCAGUGAGGAAUAUUGGUCAAUGGGCGUAAGCCUGAACCAGCCAAGUAGCGUGCAGGAUGACGGCCCUAUGGGUUGUAAACUGCUUUUAUGCGGGGAUAAAGUGGCCCACGUGUGGGUUUUUGCAGGUACCGCAUGAAUAAGGACCGGCUAAUUCCGUG
This 489-nucleotide ribosomal RNA is filed under the name uncultured bacterium. RNAcentral's name for it is "partial 16S ribosomal RNA". It matches the Rfam family "Bacterial small subunit ribosomal RNA", at positions 28 to 507 of the family's 1533-position model. The record is from RNAcentral.